Molecule: small nuclear RNA, 105 nt
Organism: Panthera leo (lion)
Lineage: Eukaryota; Metazoa; Chordata; Mammalia; Carnivora; Felidae
Source: Ensembl
GUGCUCACUCGGGCAGCAGAUAUGCUAAAAAUUUGAGUGGUAGAGAGAUUAGCAUGGCCACUGGGCUAGGAUGACACACAAAUUCACGAAGUAGCCUGUGUUUUA